GACGAACGCUGGCGGCGUGCUUAACACAUGCAAGUCGAACGGAAAGGCCCCUUUGGGGGUACUCGAGUGGCGAACGGGUGAGUAACACGUGAGUAACCUGCCCUUGACUUCGGGAUAACUUCAGGAAACUGGGGCUAAUACCGGAUAGGAAUCCUUGCUGCAUGGUGGGGGUUGGAAAGCUUCGGCGGUUUUGGAUGGACUCGCGGCUUAUCAGCUUGUUGGUGGGGUAGUGGCUUACCAAGGCUUUGACGGGUAGCCGGCCUGAGAGGGCGACCGGCCACAUUGGGACUGAGAUACGGCCCAGACUCCUACGGGAGGCAGCAGUGGGGAAGAUUGCACAAUGGGCGGAAGCCUGAUGCAGCAACGCCGCGGGCGGGAUGACGGCCUUCGGGUUGUAAACCGCUUUCAGCAGGGGCGAAGCUUGUGGUGACGGUACCUGCAGAAGAAGCACCGGCUAACUACGUG
This 465-nucleotide ribosomal RNA is filed under the name uncultured bacterium. RNAcentral describes it as "partial 16S ribosomal RNA". It matches the Rfam family "Bacterial small subunit ribosomal RNA", at positions 28 to 507 of the family's 1533-position model. The record is from RNAcentral.